UGUUCUGUGUUCAUAGAAAGGGGGACAGGUUAAAAAUGGGAAAUGCUGAACUGGUCCACAGCCUCCGUUUUACUAGUGACAAAACUAAGACACAGAACCGUGCCUAAGGCAUGAAACAAGUUAGGGGCCGGGCUUGAACCCCAGCCCAGGGCUCCUGAUUCAAUUACUCACAGUCUUCAUCUUCCCAAAUAUUUAAGAAGAACACAGUGAAGGUCUCCCCAAGUAGAGCAUUCCCGUGACUGAAGCAUAUCUCAUGUUGGACACAUGACAACCAUGCUGGUCUUGGCACACGUUGGCACUCUGCCCCAGCCUCACUGGGGUCACACAGUGGGGCUCAUACCACUUAACUCUGUGCCUUUCAUCCCUGCUGCAAAGUGAAAAGAGUAAUCCAAGAAAGUUGUAGCCAAAAAACAAGAGGGGCUUUAAAGCCAAACCUGCAUGCUCAAAACCAGAAGAACCCCUAAGGGUCAUUAUUCAGAGCUAGGAUUAUAAUCGCAGAACCAAGAAAACCUUCCUGGUUAGUUAACCCAAGCCUUCAUUUUACAGUCAAGCCCCACAGAAUGACUUGCCUAGGACAGGAAGACCAGCUCCUUCGAUCAUACACACCACGUUAACCUGGUCACAGGUGAAAACCAGCCGCUACGGAAAGUAAUACUAAGUACACAGUGACAAAUGGAUCAAAACAGACCAGCGUCCAUGGGGCAGAAGGAGGGGCAGGGAGGAAACUAAACACAGAUCACAACAUUUAAACACGUGAGAUUAAUGCCUCUUCAGAGUGUCACAGGGAGCUCAAAAGGCAUGACUGACUAUUCCUAAUCCUAAAGAAAAGCUAAAAUGAUGCCCUGAACCAAACUCACAGCAGAGACCAAGGGCCUCAGAAGUGGUACAGGUCCUUGGAACAUUCAUCUCCACGACCCAGUGGGUCUGGUGCCGCUCAAAUAACAUCUCCCUGCUCCUAACUUUCCCACACUCUGUCCAAGGCGCCUGAGACAACAACUUCAAACAUGGGGAAUUUUAUUACAUGUGAGGGCUUCUUUCCUACACAAAUGCCACCUGGUAUCUGUCCAGGGUCUUUCCUGGAGCAGCUUCGGAAACCUAAAAGACAAGAUCUCCCUGUGGCCUCUGUAACCCUGGCAGGCAAGGACCAUUCCCUUAAUUCCCCACUGGGAUGCCGGAGGGAGAGAAGGGGUGAUGGCUCAGUCCCAGCAGCACAAUAUAAGACUUGGGCUCACCUUACUGCCAAUGCCCAUGGUCUUCUCUCUGGACCCGUGUCUGUCCAGUCCCUGACUGCCAGCUCUGAGAGCUGCCCAGGGCAGGGAAAACCUGCCAUUAGACAUUCUGGCCUUCACGCCACUCACGUGGGGCCAGCAUCAGCAACAAGAUACAGAUGCUAACUGGGGAACUCUGCUGGGCCUGCCUUCCAAGAUAACUGCCACCCGGAGAGGUCCCCAAAUCUCCCAAAGCACACUGAGGCUGGAGUCGGAGGAUACAGUGGCUCAUGAGCCCGGGCAGGCUAAUCUGUUCACCUCUCUGUGCCACGGUUUCUUCAUCUGUUAAUCCCCAGGGUUGCUGUGUGUUUUAGAUGAGUUCUGCCCACAAAAGUGCGAUGUGUCAGUACUAGUAUUAUUCCCCCUCAGCACUCUAUCCCCUAGCCAUUCGGUAUCCUGAACAGGCUGACUGAGGUCAACUCAGGCAAAAUCCGCCUGGCUAAAACUGCCUCCUUACAGAAAUGCAUUUAAAACUACCCGGGAAGUACCGGGCCAACUGAACCUCUAUUACACAAACCGUAAGAAAGGCUGUAUAGCACACGCUCUCCCUGCCUGCCCGCCUCCCUGCAACAAAAUGAGAAGGCAAAUGUCAUUGCAAGUCUUACUGCCUCUCAGCGGCUCGACAGCCGGAGGGCGGGUGGCCGGGCCGGCCGGACCGGGGACACGUUCCUCGGCGCGAGCGUGGUUAGCGCUCCCGGCGGCGGGUCCCUCGGGGACAGCGCACGUGUGGGCAGCCUCGGCCACCCGGCACCGGCCGGCGGACGCCGCUCGCCACGGCUUGGACACCGGGAGCGCCAGCUGGAGCCGCAACGACCCGGGACCGCAAACUCUCCGAUCGCGUUGCCAGACAGUGGAUCUAAUCUCCCAACGGAUGAGAAACGCCCUGAACUCGGCAAUGGUGAUAGUGGUGGAGAAAAGUAAGCUUGUGGAUGGUUGAGAGGACUCUUGGCACUUGUGAACAUGCCCAUAAUCUUCAGGAAAAGCGACUGACAUUCCUGAGGUCAAAGGAGAAUGAAGAAUAACAGCAGAGCUCUCAUACCAAGCAGCAAGAUCCAC
This is a long non-coding RNA of Aethalodelphis obliquidens (Pacific white-sided dolphin), 2324 nucleotides long. RefSeq lists it as uncharacterized. The record is from RefSeq and is a predicted model, not a curated record. NCBI's taxonomy places the organism in Eukaryota, Metazoa, Chordata, Mammalia, Artiodactyla, Delphinidae. The transcript has 3 exons.